CCUACGGGAGGCAGCAGUGAGGAAUAUUGGACAAUGGGAGCAAUCCUGAUCCAGCAAUGCCGCGUGUGGGAUGRCGGGGCUUUGCCUUGUAAACCACUGUCGGACGGGACGAGAAGAGGUAAGAACCUCUGGGACGGUACCGUCAAAGGAAGGAUCGGCUAACUACGUGCCAGCAGCCGCGGUAAUACGUAGGAUCCAAGCGUUGUCCGGAUUUACUGGGUAUAAAGGGUGCGUAGGCGGCUUUUUGCGUCAGAGGUGAAAUCCACGGGCUUAACCCGUGGGGUGCCUUUGAAACGGGAAGGCUUGAGUAUGACAGAGGCGGAUGGAAUUCCUGGUGUAGCAGUGAAAUGCGUAGAUAUCAGGAGGAACACCGGUGGCGAAGGCGGUCCGCUGGGUCAUAACUGACGCUGAGGCACGAAAGCGUGGGGAUCAAACAGGAUUAGAUACCCUGGUAGUCCACGCCUUAAACGAUGUAUGCUUGGUGUUGGAACAGCAAUGUUUCAGUGCCGGAGGGAAUCUAUUAAGCAUACCACCUGGGGAGUACGAUCGCAAGGUUGAAACUCAAAKGAAUUGACGG
RNAcentral lists this ribosomal RNA (577 nucleotides) under uncultured bacterium. RNAcentral describes it as "bacterial SSU rRNA". It matches the Rfam family "Bacterial small subunit ribosomal RNA", at positions 338 to 916 of the family's 1533-position model. The record is from RNAcentral.